RNAcentral lists this ribosomal RNA (1402 nucleotides) under Ralstonia sp. SRY4. RNAcentral describes it as "partial 16S ribosomal RNA". It matches the Rfam family "Bacterial small subunit ribosomal RNA", at positions 57 to 1329 of the family's 1533-position model. The record is from RNAcentral. Lineage: Bacteria; Pseudomonadati; Pseudomonadota; Betaproteobacteria; Burkholderiales; Burkholderiaceae.
GCAGUCGAACGGCAGCAUGACCAAGCUUGCUUGGUUGAUGGCGAGUGGCGAACGGGUGAGUAAUACAUCGGAACGUACCGUUUAGUGGGGGACAACUUUCAGAAAUGGAAGCUAAUACCGCAUACGAACUACGGUUGAAAGCAGGGGACCUUCGGGCCUUGUGCUAAACGAGCGGCCGAUGGAAGAUUAGCUAGUUGGUGGGGUAAAGGCUCACCAAGGCGACGAUCUUUAGCGGGUCUGAGAGGACGAUCCGCCACACUGGAACUGAGACACGGUCCAGACUCCUACGGGAGGCAGCAGUGGGGAAUUUUGGACAAUGGGGGCAACCCUGAUCCAGCAAUGCCGCGUGAGUGAAGAAGGCCUUCGGGUUGUAAAGCUCUUUUGUUAGGGAAGAAAAGGUCUCGGAUAAUACCCGAGGCUGAUGACGGUACCUAAAGAAUAAGCACCGGCUAACUACGUGCCAGCAGCCGCGGUAAUACGUAGGGUGCAAGCGUUAAUCGGAAUUACUGGGCGUAAAGCGUGCGCAGGCGGCCUCGCAAGUCAGAUGUGAAAUCCCCGAGCUCAACUUGGGAACUGCAUUUGAAACUACGAGGCUAGAGUGUGUCAGAGGGAGGUAGAAUUCCACGUGUAGCAGUGAAAUGCGUAGAUAUGUGGAGGAAUACCAGUGGCGAAUCCCCGAGCUCAACUUGGGAACUGCAUUUGAAACUACGAGGCUAGAGUGUGUCAGAGGGAGGUAGAAUUCCACGUGUAGCAGUGAAAUGCGUAGAUAUGUGGAGGAAUACCAGUGGCGAAGGCGGCCUCCUGGGAUAACACUGACGCUCAUGUACGAAAGCGUGGGGAGCAAACAGGAUUAGAUACCCUGGUAGUCCACGCCCUAAACGAUGUCAACUGGUUGUUGGGUCUUCAUUGACUUAGUAACGAAGCUAACGCGUGAAGUUGACCGCCUGGGGAGUACGGUCGCAAGAUUAAAACUCAAAUGAAUUGACGGGGACCCGCACAAGCGGUGGAUGAUGUGGAUUAAUUCGAUGCAACGCGAAAAACCUUACCUACCCUUGACAUGCCACUAACGAAGUAGAGAUACAUUAGGUGCUCGUAAGAGAAAGUGGACACAGGUGCUGCAUGGCUGUCGUCAGCUCGUGUCGUGAGAUGUUGGGUUAAGUCCCGCAACGAGCGCAACCCUUGUCAUUAGUUGCCAUCAUUCAGUUGGGCACUCUAAUGAGACUGCCGGUGACAAACCGGAGGAAGGUGGGGAUGACGUCAAGUCCUCAUGGCCCUUAUGGGUAGGGCUUCACACGUCAUACAAUGGUCGGUACAAAGGGUCGCCAAGCCGCGAGGUGGAGCCAAUCCCAUAAAACCGAUCGUAGUCCGGAUUGGAGUCUGCAACUCGACUCCAUGAAGUCGG